Molecule: long non-coding RNA, 3248 nt
Organism: Brassica napus (rape)
Lineage: Eukaryota; Viridiplantae; Streptophyta; Magnoliopsida; Brassicales; Brassicaceae
Exons: 2
Source: RefSeq, a predicted model, not a curated record
AUUUACUCUAACAAUAUAUCAAAUCAUUAAUUAUAAUAUACCAUAAAAGUAAUAAUGCAAUUUUUUAUUUAUUAGUUAAUCAAGAUUAACUUUGUGCAAUUAUAAGAAAAAUGUAAGAUAACCAAGUUUUUCAUAUGGUUAAUUGUUUGGUUUAAUCUGUUUUACUAAAACUUUAUUUUGUCUUAGUUCCGAUUGGUGAAAAAUUACAUAGCCAAACACAUAAUUCAAAGGCAUAUUUUAUGUGAACAAAAUAAUAAUUUAAAUCAAAAUAAUUAAAAAGUAUUACAUUUAUUAUCACUUAAUGUUUCACUUCAUAUAACUAUUUUACUAAAUAGAAAAUUCUUUCUAUUUUUCUUAUUUUUGCCAAAUAUAUAGAAAGAGUUUUCUUUUUAAUUUAUUUGCGGAAUCAGUUAAAUAUGGACAUUCGGAUACUCAUUGAGAUACAAGUUGUUUCUUUCGGGAUUAAUUUUUUUGGAUUUUGAAAUUAGGCGCCACUUGGAUAUUAUACAUUUAUGUAUGAGGUUUGAGUUGGGUCCUCCUGGGUCUGAAUGAUUUUGAUUCUGAUGUGUAGAAACAUAAAAAUAUCUAAAUAACCAAUAUAUUUGAAAGGGGUUCGUAUAUUUGUACCAAAAAUAAUCUUAUUACCCGAUUCAGUCAAAAUCUUUUGAAUACAAUUAGUUAUACGAUGACACAUCUUAAAUAUAUAACAUUAAUUAUAAAAUAACGAAUAAAAAUUUAUAAAUCCGUAAAAAUUAACACUCGUAUGGGCGUGCGGAUCAAUCUCUAGUAUAUAUUAAACCAUUUGCUGUAAUAUGUUAUAUUGGGAGUUUUUUUUUUUAAUUAUUAUUGGGAGUUAGGACGUGUAUUUUUUGUUUCCUUCUUUUGUGUUUUAACGAAGUUGUGCAUUUAAAUGUUUUGGUUGUAUAUAUAGAUAUAUACAAAAUGUUAAGAAUUUAAAACCAGUUACGAAAAUAUUGUUUAAGAUUUUAUGAUAGAAAUGAUGAUAUGAUAAAGCAGAUAUCUACAAUCAAGUGGUGUAUAUGCAUUUAAACGGUUCCUUCCGUAUACAAUUAGAGUAAAAUUAGUAAAUAAUAAUAAAGUUACCUUCUCUUUCUUCUCCUUACGCCACAUCACCUCAUAGGAUGGGGCGUUUUCCGCCACGUGGCAAGCUUCCCGAGUGAGCGUUUUGUUUCGAGCUUCAGCGGAUCGCGUCACAUUGGGCUUAAGUAAAAACCUUACACAGGCUUCAUUUGAUUCUGUACAAAGUAGGCCCAUGAAGUAAAUACCUUUCUUCACCGUAGAGUUUCAAACGACUGAUUGAAAAAGCUGAAUCCAAACGAUUCCCUUUCCAAUUCCCCGACGACGUUACAAUCUGCAGUUAUGGCCUUCAGGAAACAAACCCCACAAUCACCUUUGUAUCUUCAAUACGUUGUUCUCAGUUUAUAAUAUAAACCUUCCCAGUUGCCUCUCCAAUUUCCUUCCGAUUCAUCUCCACUUUUACUCUUAGACAAGCUUUCCCUAAUGACAAUUUCGCAGCCUCAAUUAUCCAGAAGGCAGGCAGCCCGGAAUUAUCCAUAUGCUGCUGCUAGAUUCCAAGGUUAAGCUUGGAUACGUUUUAUGUGAUCAGUUUGUUCGUGAAAGGAAUGUGAGCUUACACCUCCAGUCACGGGCAUAUUAAAAUUUACUCUCUUUUACAUGUUUAUCUAAACAGUUUUGCAAAGAAAUUUUUAAAGACCCAAUUCUCUCUUCUCCGGUUGCAACCAAAGGCAUAAGCGUCAACGAACUUGUGACAUGGAUGGUUUUUGGAGAGGUGAGAUGACCGACCGAAGCGUUGUUGGUUGGAUUCUUAGGGAUGGGAAGGGAGAAAUGAAGUGUCUUAGAGAAGCCUCAUCUAUUUCGAGGUCCUUUACUGACUUGUGAGAUGAAGCAGAAGCAUUGAUAUGGAGUGUUAUUUGUAUAAUUGGGCUAUAAGAAAUUCUGAAUUUUACCACCUUGGCUCUGACCAAUCUGAAGUUAGGGGUCAGCUAUUUCAAGGAAAGUGACAUCUCAUAAUUCAAUUUAUACUUUUGUUUGCUUAGCGUGUAAGGAUAUUGAUGAACUGCAGCAGAAAACGGAGAUUUUAGUAAGCAUCGCAGAUGGAUUCUGUUAAUGGUGUGAGUUUCGAGUUCGGCGAAGCAAAUGGUUUACUCUAAAAGUUUGCGGGAGAAAAGCCUAUGUAAAAGUCACUGGAAUCUCUUAAAGCAGAACUGAAGAAUGUCAAGAGAUAGCACUGUGGAGUUGAAGCGAAGGAGGCUGAAAUCGAAUAAGUGGUUAGAGAUCUCCAUCCGGAGCGUAGCAAAAGUGAGACUGACCUAGAACAAUGUGUGGCAGAAAAAUCUGAAGCAAACGCCGCUUACGAAGAUAUGAUGUCAACCUUAAAUCAGAUAUCUUCGAGAUAGAAGCUGCUCGACGAGAAGUUGAGCUACAUUUUGAAGGUCGCACCAGAUAAAGUCGAGGAAGCAAAAGCUGCCGAGGUAUGUGCUUGACCACAUAAAGUCAAUGUCUGAAAAUUCAACAGUUGCCCGAAUUUGUAAUACCGCGCCAUCUGAGUGUGGAGCUAAGAGCAUCACACUAUGUCAGGAGGAUUUUAAGUCGCUGAGCGAAGGAGCUAAGCUAUUCGAUAAGUUGGUGAAUAUGAAAGUGGUAAAUAUGAAAGUGGCAGCUGCGCUGGCUCAGGUAGGCGCAGUUAGAGCACACUGAAAAAGUUAGAGGCACACAAGAGGAGAUUGAGAAGCUAAAGACUGCGACAGAAGACACACUGGAUAAAGCAUCCAGGGCUGAUGCUGCUGAGUAUGCAGUUGAAGGAGAACUCGGGAGGUGUCAGGUAAGAUAUCUGAAUAAAGCACAGAGGAAGCAGCUUCGAGGAUUAUUGCAGAGGCUGAGGCGAUGAUUCUGCUGAAUCAUCACCACAAAGUCACUACAAAGCUACGAAACGUAAACAAAUCCACACAAACUCGAGAAGACAAAAACUUUUGUGGUAUAUAAAAGUGGUUUUACCGAAUUUAAGUGUAAUAGUUAAUAGAAAUAAGAAUCAAGUGGAAUGGGGUUCUCCUUAUCUCUAUGGAGAGAAACCCUUUUUGAUGUAUACUUUCUUUUUAAGAGUUGAGAACUUUCGUUGUGGUGAACUUUUCGUUGAUGUAUACGUUUGGUCUUUAAUGUGAAAACUGGUUUGUUGCUGUAAAUUGGAUGAAAGCUAUUUUUGUUGUUUU